AAAGGAAUUGACGGGGGCCCGCACAAGCGGAGGAACAUGUGGUUUAAUUCGAUGAUACGCGAGGAACCUUACCCGGGCUUGAAUUGCAUUUGAAUGUCGUGGAAACAUGUCAGCCAGCAAUGGCAAAUGUGAAGGUGCUGCAUGGUUGUCGUCAGCUCGUGCCGUGAGGUGUCGGCUUAAGUGCCAUAACGAGCGCAACCCUCAUCGAUAGUUACUAACAGGUCAUGCUGAGGACUCUAUCGAGACUGCCGGCGUAAGCUGUGAGGAAGGUGGGGAUGACGUCAAAUCAGCACGGCCCUUACGUCCGGGGCGACACACGUGUUACAAUGGGGGGGACAGAGGGCUGCCACUGCGCAAGCAGGCGCUAAUCCCUAAACCCCUUCUCAGUUCGGAUCGAAGUCUGCAACCCGACUUCGUGAAGCUGGAUUCGCUAGUAAUCGCGCAUCAGCCAUGGCGCGGUGAAUACGUUCCCGGGCCUUGUACACACCGCCCGU
Molecule: ribosomal RNA, 494 nt
Filed under: uncultured bacterium
Lineage: Bacteria
Description: bacterial SSU rRNA
Rfam family: Bacterial small subunit ribosomal RNA
Source: RNAcentral